UACGUAGGGGGCAAGCGUUGUCCGGAAUUAUUGGGCGUAAAGAGCGUGUAGGCGGUCCGGUAAGUCGGCUGUGAAAGCCCGGGGCUUAACCCCGGGUCUGCAUUCGAUACGGGCAGGCUAGAGUGUGGUAGGGGAGAUCGGAAUUCCUGGUGUAGCGGUGAAAUGCGCAGAUAUCAGGAGGAACACCGGUGGCGAAGGCGGAUCUCUGGGCCAUUACUGACGCUGAGGAGCGAAAGCGUGGGGAGCGAACAGG
This 253-nucleotide ribosomal RNA is filed under the name uncultured bacterium. RNAcentral's name for it is "partial 16S ribosomal RNA". It matches the Rfam family "Bacterial small subunit ribosomal RNA", at positions 524 to 776 of the family's 1533-position model. The record is from RNAcentral.